GAUGAACGCUGGCGGCGUGCCUAAUACAUGCAAGUCGAGCGGACAGACGAGGAGCUUGCUCCUCUGACGUUAGCGGCGGACGGGUGAGUAACACGUGGAUAACCUACCUAUAAGACUGGGAUAACUUCGGGAAACCGGAGCUAAUACCGGAUGAUAUAUUGAACCGCAGGGGUCAAUAGUGAAAGACGGUUUUGCUGGCAGUUCUGGCUGGAUCCGCGGCUUAUCAGCUAGUUGGUGGGGUAACGGCUUACCAAGGCUUUGAUGGGUAGCCGGCCUGAGAGGGUGACCGGCCACAUUGGGACUGAGAUACGGCCCAGACUCCUACGGGAGGCAGCAGUGGGGAAUAUUGCACAAUGGGCGGAAGCCUGAUGCAGCAACGCCGCGUGCGGGAUGACGGCCUUCGGGUUGUAAACCGCUUUCGCCUGUGACGAAGCGUGAGUGACGGUAAUGGGUAAAGAAGCACCGGCUAACUACGUG
RNAcentral lists this ribosomal RNA (477 nucleotides) under uncultured bacterium. RNAcentral's name for it is "partial 16S ribosomal RNA". It matches the Rfam family "Bacterial small subunit ribosomal RNA", at positions 28 to 507 of the family's 1533-position model. The record is from RNAcentral.